GGAAAAACUUGAUCGUAUUUCAGGUGUAGCCUUGCAAAUGCAGAGAGAAAGACAAUGGUUCAAGGAGGUUAAGAGUAUUGUAGUUUUACCCUCGGGAGUGGGAGCUUUCAAUAAAGAGGGUAAGGGGCCCCAUGAACUAUUUACCCAGAACCACAAGACAUUGAA
Prunus avium (sweet cherry) is the source of this 165-nucleotide non-coding RNA. NCBI's taxonomy places the organism in Eukaryota, Viridiplantae, Streptophyta, Magnoliopsida, Rosales, Rosaceae. The record is from RefSeq and is a predicted model, not a curated record.